This is a long non-coding RNA of Monodelphis domestica (gray short-tailed opossum), 1727 nucleotides long. The record is from Ensembl. NCBI's taxonomy places the organism in Eukaryota, Metazoa, Chordata, Mammalia, Didelphimorphia, Didelphidae.
AAGUCUCCCUUCCUUCCUUCCUUCCUUCCUUCCUUCCUUCCUUCCUUCCUUCCUUCCUUCCUUCCUUCCUUCCUUCCUUCCUUCCUUCCUUCCUUCCUUCCUUCCUUCCUUCCUUCCUUCCUUCCUUCCUUCCUUCCUUCCUUCCUUCCUUCCUUUUCUUCCUUCUUUUCUUUCUCUCUUCCUUCCUUCCUUCCUUCCUUCCUUCCUUCCUUCCUUCCUUCCUUCCUUCCUUCCUUUCCUUCCUUCUUUCUUUCUUCUGUCUAUCUACUGAGUCUAUAUACCUCUAUUCAUCCAUUUAUGUCUCUAUCAUCUAUUGAUCUAUAUCCAUCUGUGUAUCCAUUUAUCUGUCUGUUAGUCUGCCUGCUUGCUUGCUUCACCUGUCUGUUUGUAUAUUCAUCUAUCCAUCUGACCAUCCAUCUAUUUAUUUCACUAUCUAUGUAUGUAUAUAUAAGUUUACAUACACAUGCACAUGGACACACAUUCACACACACAUAUAUGUAUAUAUAAUAAAUUGCCAAGUUAGGACUUGAACCCGAAGUCUUUGACGCCAAAGCACAAUGCUUUGCCCACUGUACUUCCUUGCCUUAUAAAAUAUGUCUUUUCCUCCUACCCAGUGAAUGGUGUGUGUGUUUUUUUUCCCAUACUGACAAUUCCAUAAUAGUAUGAUGUUGUAGCUGCUGAAUGGGUAGAUAAGGAUGAUGUCAACUGAAUAAGCUACAGUUACCUGGAAUGUAAUUACUCCCCCUGCCUAUUCCUUCGUGACAGAUGAUAACUCUAUGGAUUUGGAGCCUCUCACAUUUUUUCAGACACAUUUUACAUUUUAUUUUCUCAUGAUAAGAGUCAGUGUGGCACAGAGUGACAUAAGAUUGAGUGCUGGGCUUGCAGUCAGGAAUAUUGGGUUCAAAUCACACUGCUAAGAGUUACUAGCCUAGUGUGAGUUUUUUUGGUUGUGUAACCUCUCCAUUGCUCCGCACAGUCCCCAGGAUUUAUCGCUGUCAAAGGCAGAGCUCAUUCUUUGUUAGUGAAAGGAGUUCCUGAGUCGUCUUCCCCCAAAUCAGAGAUCCUUCAUGCAUUCUAGUAUUUUCCUAUCAACAAUAGCAUUUCCUUCCUUUUCUCUUUUGGGGCUUCUGAAAGGACAAAAUAAGAAGACUGUAGGGGGCAGCUGGGUAGCUCAGUGGAUUAAGAGCCAGUCCUAGAGACGGGAGGUCCUAGGUUCAAAUCUGGCCUCAGACACUUCCCAGCUGUGUGACCCUGGGCAAGUCACUUGACCCCCAUUGCCUAGCCCUUACCACUCUUCUGCCUUGGAGCCAAUACACAGUAUUGAUUCCAAGACGGAAGGUAAGGGUUUAAAAAAAAAUAAGAAGACUGUAAAUGGAAAUUUAGAAGCUAGUGAAGAAUUUUGGUAGGAGCUAUGCAGAAACAACCAAUCACUUCUUGUGGUGCCUCUGAGGAGACAUGGAUUUGAAUCUUAGCAAAAUUGGAGGAAGGGAGGGAAACUGAGCCCAUUUCAAAGGUGCCUCGACCAGCCUUGUCUUAGAUUCCUAAAGGUUCAGGAACACAACUUGAUCCUAACCAGCAUUCCCACAAGAGUUUGGGGCGGGGGUGGGGGGUGGAAAUUGCCCUUCAAUGUCCUUGUCACAUGACUUUCCCCAAGUCCCAAUGAAUGAGUAAAAAAGAGACUUGGAAAAACAAAUAAACAAAGACACCAGAGAAGAAGGAAGAGGAAA